GUUUUUUUCCUGGAGGCACUUUACAAAACCAGGACUGAGCCAACAGCCACACGUGUGUGAGCCGGCCGUCGGAAGAGUCUCUCCCAGGAACGCUAAUUGGUCCCUUUGGGGAUGAAAUUGGCCUCCUUCGCCCGUACAGCGCGGCAAGUUCAUCAGAGGCCGGGAAAUGAUUUUCUCACCCAGAUGCUCCUGCUGGCCUCCAGGUGGCGAUGCUGCUUUGUCAACCUCCAGAGAGCCUGGAGCUGGCCCAGGCGAGUCUGAAAUUGAGCUACCUAAACCAGCGGCAUCCUCCUAUUUCCCGAAAAGAAGAUAUUUUUUUCAACCUGGAUUUGAAGUCACUAGUGGUGCGGCAGGU
This 355-nucleotide long non-coding RNA is filed under the name Chinchilla lanigera (long-tailed chinchilla). RNAcentral describes it as "lncRNA (ENSCLAG00000023122.1)". The record is from RNAcentral. Lineage: Eukaryota; Metazoa; Chordata; Mammalia; Rodentia; Chinchillidae.